CUCCUAGAUGGUGUAAAGACAGGGUGCUUGUGUAUGGUUCUCCUGGCUCUAUUUGGAACAUACUCUAAGUGCUGGCUGCCACAGUGCAUAGAGGUCAGCAGGAGCUGAGCCCUGAGUUCCAGUUCCCCAUGAGUAGGGAGAAGCAUACACAAGUGUAGCCUGAAUAUAGGACCAGAGGUAGGCAUAAAAUCAUGAUCCAUGUAGCCUAGAUCAGUUUCUCUCCUGUGGGUAGAAUGAGGCCUGUUGCCUGUCUAUGGAGGUCAGCUGGAGCUGACCCCUGAGUUCAUGUCCCCCAUGAGUAGGGAGAAGCAUACACAAGUGUAGCCUGAAUUGGGGACCACAGGUAAGGCAUCAAAUCAUGAUCCAUGUACCCUAGAAAGUGCUCUCUACUGUGGGUAGAAUGCACUUUGAUGCCUGCCUGCCUAUGAAUGUUGCCUGUCUAUGGAGGUCAGCUGGAGCUGACCCCUGAGUUCAUGUUCCCCAUGAGUAGGGAGAAGCAUACAGAAGUGUAGCCUGAAUUGGGGACCAGAGGUAGGCAUACAAUCAUGGUCAAUGUAGCCUAGAUCAGUUUCUCUCCUGUGGGUAGAAUGAGGCCUGUUGCCUGUCUAUGGAGGUCAGCUGGAGCUGACCCCUGAGUUCAUGUCCCCCAUGAGUAGGGAGAAGCAUACACAAGUGUAGCCUGAAUAUAGGACCAGAGGUAGGCAUAAAAUCAUGAUCCAUGUAGCCUAGAUCAGUUUCUCUCCUGUGGGUAGAAUGAGGCCUGUUGCCUGUCUAUGGAGGUCAGCUGGAGCUGACCCCUGAGUUCAUGUCCCCCCAUGAGUAGGGAGAAGCAUACACAAGUGUAGCCUGAAUAUAGGACCAGAGGUAGGCAUAAAAUCAUGGUCAAUGUAGCCUAGAUUGAGCCCUCUCCUGUGGGUAGAAUGAGGCCUGUUGCCUGUCUAUGGAGGUCAGCUGGAGCUGACCCCUGAGUUCAUUUCCCCAUGAGUAGGGAGAAGCAUACACAAGUGUAGCCUGAAUAUAGGACCAGAGGUAGGCAUACAAUCAUGGUCAAUGUAGCCUAGAUUGAGCCCUCUCCUGUGGGUAGAAUGAGGCCUGUUGCCUGUCUAUGGAGGUCAGCUGGAGCUGACCCCUGAGUUUAAGUUCCCCAUGAGUAGGGAGAAGCAUACACAAGUGUAGCCUGAAUAUAGGACCAGAGGUAGGCAUAAAAUCAUGGUCAAUGUAGCCUAGAUUGAGCCCUCUCCUGUGGGUAGAAUGAGGCCUGUUGCCUGUCUAUGGAGGUCAGCUGGAGCUGACCCCUGAGUUUAAGUUCCCCAUGAGUAGGGAGAAGCAUACACAAGUGUAGCCUGAAUAUAGGACCAGAGGUAGGCAUACAAUCAUGGUCAAUGUAGCCUAGAUUGAGCCCUCUCCUGUGGGUAGAAUGAGGCCUGUUGCCUGUCUAUGGAGGUCAGCUGGAGCUGACCCCUGAGUUUAAUGUUCCC
This is a long non-coding RNA of Esox lucius (northern pike), 1478 nucleotides long. The record is from Ensembl. NCBI's taxonomy places the organism in Eukaryota, Metazoa, Chordata, Actinopteri, Esociformes, Esocidae.